This 721-nucleotide ribosomal RNA is filed under the name uncultured bacterium. RNAcentral describes it as "bacterial SSU rRNA". It matches the Rfam family "Bacterial small subunit ribosomal RNA", at positions 32 to 801 of the family's 1533-position model. The record is from RNAcentral.
CGCGCUUGCGCAGCCUCAACAUGCAAGUCUAGGGGACGUAGCAAUACGUCACCGGCGGACGGGUGCGUAACACGUGGGAACAUACCUUUCGGUACGGAACAACUGAGGGAAACUUCAGCUAAUACCGUAUACGCCCGUAAGGGGAAAGAAUUUCGCCGAAAGAUUGGCCCGCGUUCGAUUAGCUAGUUGGUGAGGUAAUGGCUCACCAAGGCUCCGAUCGAUAGCUGUUCUGAGAGGAAGAUCAGCCACACUGGGACUGAGACACGGCCCAGACUCCUACGGGAGGCAGCAGUUGGGAAUCUUGGACAAUGGGGGAAACCCUGAUCCAGCCAUGCCGCGUGAGUGAUGAAGGCCUUCGGGUUGUAAAGCUCUUUUACCCGGGAAGAUAAUGACUGUACCGGGAGAAUAAGCUCCGGCUAACUUCGUGCCAGCAGCCGCGGUAAUACGAAGGGGGCUAGCGUUGUUCGGAUUCACUGGGCGUAAAGGGUGCGUAGGUGGUGGGGUAAGUCGGAUGUGAAAUCUCGGAGCUCAACUCCGAAAUGGCAUUGGAAACUACCCUGCUGGAGGUUUGGAGGGGGGACUGGAAUUCUCGGUGUAGCGGUGAAAUGCGUAGAGAUCUGGAGGAAUACCGGUGGCGAAGGCGGCCCCCUGGACGAAGACUGACGCUCAGGUGCGAAACAUGGGGGAGCAAACAGGAUUAGAUACCCUGGUAGUCCCCACU